UACGUAGGGUGCGAGCGUUAAUCGGAAUUACUGGGCGUAAAGAGCGCGCAGGCGGUCGUUCAAGUCGCGUGUGGAAGCCCCCGGCUCAACUGGGGAGGGUCACGCGAUACUGAUCGACUCGAAGGCAGGAGAGGGAAGUGGAAUUCCCGGUGUAGUGGUGAAAUGCGUAGAUAUCGGGAGGAACACCAGUGGCGAAGGCGACUUCCUGGCCUGUUCUUGACGCUGAGGCGCGAAAGCUAGGGGAGCAAACGGG
Molecule: ribosomal RNA, 253 nt
Filed under: uncultured bacterium
Lineage: Bacteria
Description: partial 16S ribosomal RNA
Rfam family: Bacterial small subunit ribosomal RNA
Source: RNAcentral